GACGAACGCGGGCGGCGUGCGUAAUACAUGCAAGUCGAACGCACGAAGUUGAAGAGCUUGCUCUUUAACCAAGUGAGUGGCGGACGGGUGAGUAACACGUGGGUAACCUACCCAUUAGAGGGGGAUAACAUUCGGAAACGGAUGCUAAUACCGCAUAGUUUCAGGAAUCGCAUGAUUCGUGAAGGAAAGGUGGCUUCGGCUACCACUAAUGGAUGGACCCGCGGCGUAUUAGCUAGUUGGUGAGGUAAUGGCUCACCAAGGCAAUGAUACGUAGCCGACCUGAGAGGGUGAUCGGCCACACUGGGACUGAGACACGGCCCAGACUCCUACGGGAGGCAGCAGUAGGGAAUCUUCCGCAAUGGACGAAAGUCUGACGGAGCAACGCCGCGUGAGUGAAGAAGGUUUUCGGAUCGUAAAACUCUGUUGUUAAAGAAGAACAAGGAUGAGAGUAACUGCUCAUCCCCUGACGGUAUUUAACCAGAAAGCCACGGCUAACUACGUGCCAGCAGCCGCGGUAAUACGUAGGUGGCAAGCGUUGUCCGGAUUUAUUGGGCGUAAAGCGAGCGCAGGCGGUUCUUUAAGUCUGAUGUGAAAGCCCCCGGCUCAACCGGGGAGGGUCAUUGGAAACUGGAGAACUUGAGUGCAGAAGAGGAGAGUGGAAUUCCACGUGUAGCGGUGAAAUGCGUAGAUAUGUGGAGGAACACCAGUGGCGAAGGCGACUCUCUGGUCUGUAACUGACGCUGAGGCUCGAAAGCGUGGGGAGCAAACAGG
This 771-nucleotide ribosomal RNA is filed under the name uncultured Vagococcus sp. Its description in RNAcentral is "bacterial SSU rRNA". It matches the Rfam family "Bacterial small subunit ribosomal RNA", at positions 28 to 776 of the family's 1533-position model. The record is from RNAcentral. Lineage: Bacteria; Bacillati; Bacillota; Bacilli; Lactobacillales; Enterococcaceae.